Non-coding RNA from Procambarus clarkii (red swamp crayfish), 2540 nucleotides. Lineage: Eukaryota; Metazoa; Arthropoda; Malacostraca; Decapoda; Cambaridae. The record is from RefSeq and is a predicted model, not a curated record.
UUCCCUGUAGUGAGGGGGCGGCCCCCCCUCCCUCUCCUCUCCCAUCCCGCAAACUUUCCCCGUAGUGUGGGGUCGUUACCCUGGAAGCCGUUUGCGGAGUCCCGUCGCUCGGCGCCUCUCACCCUCCCACUGACCUUCACCGCCUCCUCCAGUUUCCCUCCCACCUUCCUCCUCCAUCUUCCUUGUACUCCUGAACUGGCCACAGCUGCUCUUCCCAAGUCUCCAAGUUUCCAGGUUCCCUCGGUGUUGCUGCUUCCUAGUCCUGAAGUUUCCAGGUUCCCUCGGUGUUGCUGCUUCCUAGUCCUGAAGUUUCCAGGUUCCCUCGGUGUCGCUGCUUCCUAGUCCUGAAGUUUCCAGGUUCCCUCGGUGUUGCUGCUUCCUAGUCCUGAAGUUUCCAGGUUCCCUCGGUGUUGCUGCUUCCUAGUCCUGAAGUUUCCAGGUUCCCUCGGGGUCAACUUCCUCGGCUUACAAUUGAGAGACCCGGGUUCAAUGCCCGUGUUGGACAGAAUCGCUUGGGCACUUUUCUUUUCACCUGAUGUCUCUGUUAACCUAGAAGUUAAAUAGGUACCCAAAAUGUGCCAAUUUGUGUGGGUUUUGUCCUUGGAAAGGUCAGUAGUUGUUCUGGAGGACCUCUCUGUGACCUCUCGAGUUUACCUCUGUGACCUCUCGAGUUUACCUCUGUGACCUCUCGAGUUUACCUCUAUGACCGCUCGAGUUUACAUCUAUGACCGCUCGAGUUUACCUCUAUGACCGCUCGAGUUUACCUCUAUGCCCGCUCGAGUUUACCUCUAUGACCGCUCGAGUUUACCUCUAUGACCGCUCGAGUUUACCUAUAUGACCGCUCGAGUUUACCUAUAUGACCGCUCGAGUUUACCUCUAUGACCUCUCAUUGUGUUGUUUGUGCACUUGCCAAACAUGUCGUGCUCGUCAGCUUGGUCAGUGCUACACAAGAUCUUGUAUGUCGUGAUUGUAUCUCAUCUUCUCAUUCUCUUAUCUAUUGUAGUAAGAUCAAGCACGUUCAGCCUUCCCUUGUACUCCAAUAUUUGAGGUCUCGACCCAGUCUUGUGGCAUAUCUCUCAACUUUCUCAAGUUAACUCUUUAUAAAGAUCCAGAAAUAAACGUAUUAACGAUUUUUUUUUUGCUGUAGCUAAUUGCGAGUAGUAGUUCACUGUAUUGUAAACUGCCCCGCUGGUGUCCACUUUCAUCACCUUACACUUAUUAGCAUUAACUUCCAAUAACCAUUUCUCGAACCAACCUUGUAACCUGUCUAGGUGGUGCAGGGGAAAGCGCCAAGCCAUUACGACUAUAUAGCACUGGAAAGGGAUCGGGACAUGAAUUCUAUAGCCACUUAUCUUUGGAUGCGAUUCCAUCAUGGAGGCCCAGAAAGGGGUGGGAGGGGGUAGCAAGUUUGCCUGGAAGGUAUUCUUGGCUGUGGGAUCAUCCAUAUAACCCCAGUCACCUCUUCUUGUACGUCUCCUGAAACAUCGUCCACUUGGACAGUCGGGGAUUGAACGCCGACCUGCAUGAAGCUCUACCGUCGCUCUACCGUCCAGCCCAAGUUGUUAGAGGUGAAAGUCAACGUGUUCCAAUGUUAAUAUCUCCAACAAGUCGAGCUUUCCCUGUCUCCAGGAAACUUUACUAGUUUCUGAGGAAGAGGGCAGAAGCGUGACAAGAAUUUCCCUGUCCACUACCAGCUGUCGGAGGUAUUAAGAGUCAGGAAACGUGUUCUGGUUCCAUGUCAGGUCCCAGGUGUUGGGACAGUCAGGUGUUGAGGUCCCAGGUGUUGGGACAGUCAGGUGUUGAGGUCCCAGGUGUUGGGACAGUCAGGUGUUGAGGCCACAGUUGUUGGGACAGUCAGGUGUUGAGGCCACAGGUGUUGGGACAGUCAGGUGUUGAGGCCACAGGUGUUGGGACAGUCUGGUGUUGAGGCCCCAGUUGUUGGGACAGUCAGGUGCUGAGGCCCCAGGUGUUGGGACAGUCAGGUGUUGAGGCCCCAGGUGUUGGAACAGUCAGGUGUUGAGGCCCCAGGUGUUGGGACAGUCUGAUGUUGAGGCCCCAGGUGUUGGGACAGUCUGGUGUUGAGGCCCCAGGUGUUGGGACAGUCUGGUGUUGAGGCCCCAGUUGUUGGGACAGUCUGGUGUUGAGGCCACAGUUGUUGGGACAGUCUGGUGUUGAGGCCCCAGUUGUUGGGACAGUCUGGUGUUGAGGCCACAGGUGUUGGGACAGUCAGGUGUUGAGGCCACAGGUGUUGGGACAGUCAGGUGUUGAGGCCACAGGUGUUGGGACAGUCAGGUGUUGAGGCCACAGGUGUUGGGACAGUCAGGUGCUGAGGCCCCAGGUGUUGGGACAGUCAGGUGUUGAGGCCCCAGGUGUUGGAACAGUCAGGUGUUGAGGCCCCAGGUGUUGGGACAGUCUGAUGUUGAGGCCCCAGUUGUUGGGACAGUCUGGUGUUGAGGCCCCAGUUGUUGGGACAGUCUGGUGUUGAGGCCCCAGUUGUUGGGACAGUCUGGUGUUGAGGCCCCAGUUGUUGGGACAGUCUG